Non-coding RNA from Plutella xylostella (diamondback moth), 859 nucleotides. Lineage: Eukaryota; Metazoa; Arthropoda; Insecta; Lepidoptera; Plutellidae. The record is from RefSeq and is a predicted model, not a curated record.
UGCUGCGGCAGAGAGAGCGGCGCGGCGGCGGCGGCGGGCGGCGGCGUGGCGCGGCGGCGUGAGGGCGCGCGCGGUCGAUGAGCCCGACGCAGAGGGCAGCACGGAGCCGCGGGGGGCGCUCCUCGCCCUGCGCGCCCCCCGCCCGCCCCGCCCGCUCCCAGCGCACGAAGCCGCGCGCUCACUAAUGCGUCAUACCGCCAACGGACACGACGCGCUCGCGAGCUGCCCCGCGACCCUCAGCAUCGCGCGCCAUGUGAACUUCAGUGUCAAAAAAGUGGAGCGAACGCACACCCCCUGAACUAUAAGUGCGGCUCUCGGACAUAAUCUGCCUAGGACAGUGACGGUGCAACCUGUGACCAGAGACUUAGUGGUGGUACAUAUCACGACGCACGUGUUCGCGACCCAUGAUGAUGACCAAAAAAGCAAUCCGUUGGUUGGCGGCGUGGCAUCAGCGGUGGCUGCAAAUCACUUGAAGGAAGAUACCCGUUGGUGCCUGUUGGCAGGUACUUACUUGGAAGAUUCAGAAAAGAUGCAGUUCAUCCAAAUACAAUCUCUAAGAUAAUGUCGGGUUCAAAACAAACUAGGCAGACAUCUCUUAUCCAAGAAGUCCCUAACGGAUGAAGUCGUGGUUUUCUACCUACCCGCAAACCCUUCAAGCGACAGCAGCGCCUGGCCUGAGGAUGUGGACUGGAGGGGUCACGGCACGCUGGUGAUGCAUCUCCAACUGUCAGAUCGUGGGUCAGCCAGGAGCGAUGUCACAGGAAACAAUCAACAAUGAUCUCAGAAUGCAAGAGAUAAAUUAUAUAAUUUAUUAAAUAUUUUGUGACGAAAUAAAUUUUCUUAUAAAUUUUAUAAUAAA